ACGUAGGGUGCGAGCGUUAAUCGGAAUUACUGGGCGUAAAGCGUGCGCGGGCGGUUGUGCAAGACAGGUGUGAAAUCCCCGGGCUUAACCUGGGAACUGCACUUGUGACUGCAAGGCUUGAGUGCGGCAGAGGAGACUGGAAUUCCCGGUGUAGCAGUGAAAUGCGUAGAUAUCGGGAGGAAUACCUAUGGCGAAAGCAGGCUACUGGACCGUCUCUGACUCUGAUCUGCGAAAGCUAGGGGAGCAAACAGGA
This 253-nucleotide ribosomal RNA is filed under the name uncultured prokaryote. Its description in RNAcentral is "partial 16S ribosomal RNA". It matches the Rfam family "Bacterial small subunit ribosomal RNA", at positions 525 to 777 of the family's 1533-position model. The record is from RNAcentral.